This 449-nucleotide ribosomal RNA is filed under the name uncultured bacterium. Its description in RNAcentral is "bacterial SSU rRNA". It matches the Rfam family "Bacterial small subunit ribosomal RNA", at positions 328 to 794 of the family's 1533-position model. The record is from RNAcentral.
AUACCAGACUCCUACGGGAGGCAGCAGUGGGGAAUAUUGCACAAUGGGGGAAACCCUGAUGCAGCGACGCCGCGUGAGUGAAGAAGUAUUUCGGUAUGUAAAGCUCUAUCAGCAGGGAAGAAAAUGACGGUACCUGAUUAAGAAGCCCCGGCUAACUACGUGCCAGCAGCCGCGGUAAUACGUAGGGGGCAAGCGUUAUCCGGAUUUACUGGGUGUAAAGGGAGCGUAGACGGCAGCGCAAGUCUGAAGUGAAGUGCCGGGGCUUAACCCCGGAACUGCUUUGGAAACUGUGCAGCUCGAGUGCAGGAGAGGUAAGCGGAAUUCCUAGUGUAGCGGUGAAAUGCGUAGAUAUUAGGAGGAACACCAGUGGCGAAGGCGGCUUACUGGACUGUAACUGACGUUGAGGCUCGAAAGCGUGGGGAGCAAACAGGAUUAGAUACCCCGGUAAA